This is a long non-coding RNA of Dama dama (fallow deer), 222 nucleotides long. RefSeq lists it as uncharacterized. NCBI's taxonomy places the organism in Eukaryota, Metazoa, Chordata, Mammalia, Artiodactyla, Cervidae. The record is from RefSeq and is a predicted model, not a curated record. The transcript has 3 exons.
GCACACUCUGGGUGCUAGGGACCCAGGAUCCUCACUCAGCUCUCAACCAGCGGCCCUGAGAGGCAGGGCACUUGGUGGUUGCCCCAGAAUCCAAGACAUCUGGCAUCCCAGCCCCGGGCCGUGUGCCCUAGUGAAGGAACCUCCUACAGCUCCGGGUACAGGUCCCAGGAACUUGCAUUCUCUUUGGAGAAAUGGUUAAACAAGCAGGUAAGCUAAUUUCAG